UCUUGCUCAAAUGAGUAUUCCA
RNAcentral lists this microRNA (22 nucleotides) under Cucumis melo (muskmelon). RNAcentral describes it as "cme-miR828". Its record names the gene cme-miR828. RNAcentral also lists the same sequence under 12 other names. The record is from miRBase by way of RNAcentral. Lineage: Eukaryota; Viridiplantae; Streptophyta; Magnoliopsida; Cucurbitales; Cucurbitaceae.